RNAcentral lists this ribosomal RNA (253 nucleotides) under uncultured bacterium. RNAcentral describes it as "partial 16S ribosomal RNA". It matches the Rfam family "Bacterial small subunit ribosomal RNA", at positions 524 to 776 of the family's 1533-position model. The record is from RNAcentral.
UACGGGGGGGGCAAGCGUUGUUCGGAAUUACUGGGCGUAAAGGGUUUGUAGGUGGCCCGCUAAGUCACACGUGAAAUCCCUCAGCUUAACUGGGGAACUGCGUGUGAGACUGGCAGGCUCGAGGGCAGGAGAGGAACGCGGAAUUCCAGGUGUAGCGGUGAAAUGCGUAGAUAUCUGGAGGAACACCGGUGGCGAAGGCAGGUCUCUGGGCCACUACUGACGCUGAGAAGCGAAAGCAUGGGGAGCGAACAGG